This is a long non-coding RNA of Asparagus officinalis (garden asparagus), 454 nucleotides long. RefSeq lists it as uncharacterized. NCBI's taxonomy places the organism in Eukaryota, Viridiplantae, Streptophyta, Magnoliopsida, Asparagales, Asparagaceae. The record is from RefSeq and is a predicted model, not a curated record. The transcript has 2 exons.
UCUUGACCUUUAUCUAAUGUUCAGAUCUGCUAGUGAACUUGGAGUAUGGGUGCAUUUUGCUGCUGCCCAUGUGGGGAGGAUUUUGAAGAAUAUGCUCAUCCAAGCAGUUCGAUUUAUAGACACUGCAUAUGUCUCAGAUACUUCUUUCAUCAGCUGUUUAGUGGGGUUUUGGGCUCCAUAUCGUGAUGGCUAAUGAAUUCCUCUUUUGUUCCUGCAGAUAGGGUUUAUCAUACGAGCACUUCUGAAUCCUCAGUUGUAAUUUCUUUACAUCAAGGAUACUUCUCUUCUCACAUGCUAUUCAGUUUGCAACUCUUUGUAUUUUUUCUUAUUAACAUUUCUUUUGGUAUAUCAAAGACCAAAUUGACUAUGUAAUUGUCAGUUGUACCUGCAUUUGAGAAGAUAAUGGAAUUGUUACUUAUUUGCUCUGAUAUUAACUUAUUCUCACUUUGAAUAU